UACAGAGGUCCCAAGCGUUGUUCGGAUUCAUUGGGCGUAAAGGGUGCGUAGGCGGUUUUUUAAGUUUGAUGUGAAAUCCCGGGGCUCAACCCUGGAAUUGCAUUGAAUACUGAAGAACUAGAGUACUGGAGAGGAAACUGGAAUUUACGGUGUAGCAGUGAAAUGCGUAGAGAUCGUAAGGAAGACCAGUGGCGAAGGCGAGUUUCUGGACAGUAACUGACGCUGAGGCACGAAGGCCAGGGGAGCAAACGGG
This 253-nucleotide ribosomal RNA is filed under the name uncultured bacterium. RNAcentral's name for it is "partial 16S ribosomal RNA". It matches the Rfam family "Bacterial small subunit ribosomal RNA", at positions 524 to 776 of the family's 1533-position model. The record is from RNAcentral.